GAUUUCUCGAAACAAACUUAAGUCUGAGUUUUGUUAAGUUAGAGUUUUUUACUCAAAUUUGAGAAAACGCAGGAAAAUGCAAUUCCCAAAAUGAACUGAAAUCUAUAUUAAACUCCAACAAAGUAGACAAUUUGAGUUUGUAGGAUAGAUUACUUAAGUUGUUUGGGCUAUUUUAUUUUUAAAAUGCAGUUGAGUUAAAAAUUCAGCUGUUUCAAUUGUCAAACUCAGUUUGAAAUUUGAGUAAAAUCUUAAGUUUGUUUCGACAAAUCGGGGCCAGGUCUUACUCUUGAGGCAGAACUUUGA
Molecule: long non-coding RNA, 303 nt
Organism: Haliotis rubra (blacklip abalone)
Lineage: Eukaryota; Metazoa; Mollusca; Gastropoda; Lepetellida; Haliotidae
Exons: 3
Source: RefSeq, a predicted model, not a curated record